CGUUGGUGUCAAUGCAGAUG
RNAcentral lists this small nuclear RNA (20 nucleotides) under Arabidopsis thaliana (thale cress). RNAcentral describes it as "snRNA_13286". Lineage: Eukaryota; Viridiplantae; Streptophyta; Magnoliopsida; Brassicales; Brassicaceae. The record is from RNAcentral.